This 98-nucleotide small RNA is filed under the name Enterobacter bugandensis. The record is from RNAcentral. Lineage: Bacteria; Pseudomonadati; Pseudomonadota; Gammaproteobacteria; Enterobacterales; Enterobacteriaceae.
ACCUGCCUCAUGGAUAUAAUACCCAGGACUUGCGAAAGGACGCACUGCUGUGUGUACUAUAGGGUCUGUCUGAUGUCGGGCAGACUCUGUUUUUUUAU